RNAcentral lists this transfer RNA (72 nucleotides) under Microgenomates group bacterium. RNAcentral describes it as "tRNA-Thr". It matches the Rfam family "tRNA". Rfam says of the family: Transfer RNA (tRNA) molecules are approximately 80 nucleotides in length. Their secondary structure includes four short double-helical elements and three loops (D, anti-codon, and T loops). The record is from RNAcentral.
GCUGACGUAGCUCAGCGGUAGAGCAACUGUUUUGUAAACAGUAGGUCGGGAGUUCGAACCUCCCCGUCAGCU